AGAUUGAACGCUGGCGGCAGGCCUAACACAUGCAAGCCGAGCGGCAGCACGGGUACUUGUACCUGGUGGCGAGCGGCGGACGGGUGAGUAAUGCCUAGGAAUCUGCCUGGUAGUGGGGGAUAACGCUCGGAAACGGACGCUAAUACCGCAUACGUCCUACGGGAGAAAGCAGGGGACCUUCGGGCCUUGCGCUAUCAGAUGAGCCUAGGUCGGAUUAGCUAGUUGGUGAGGUAAUGGCUCACCAAGGCGACGAUCCGUAACUGGUCUGAGAGGAUGAUCAGUCACACUGGAACUGAGACACGGUCCAGACUCCUACGGGAGGCAGCAGUGGGGAAUAUUGGACAAUGGGCGAAAGCCUGAUCCAGCCAUGCCGCGUGUGUGAAGAAGGUCUUCGGAUUGUAAAGCACUUUAAGUUGGAGAAGGCAGUUACCUAAUACGUAUCUGUUUUGACGUUACCGACAGAAUAAGCACCGGCUAACUCUGUG
Molecule: ribosomal RNA, 485 nt
Filed under: uncultured soil bacterium
Lineage: Bacteria
Description: bacterial SSU rRNA
Rfam family: Bacterial small subunit ribosomal RNA
Source: RNAcentral